RNAcentral lists this ribosomal RNA (468 nucleotides) under uncultured bacterium. Its description in RNAcentral is "partial 16S ribosomal RNA". It matches the Rfam family "Bacterial small subunit ribosomal RNA", at positions 28 to 507 of the family's 1533-position model. The record is from RNAcentral.
GACGAACGCUGGCGGCGUGCUUAACACAUGCAAGUCGAACGGAAAGGCCCUGCUUUUGUGGGGUGCUCGAGUGGCGAACGGGUGAGUAACACGUGAGUAACCUGCCCUUGACUUUGGGAUAACUUCAGGAAACUGGGGCUAAUACCGGAUAGGAGCUCCUGCUGCAUGGUGGGGGUUGGAAAGUUUCGGCGGUUGGGGAUGGACUCGCGGCUUAUCAGCUUGUUGGUGGGGUAGUGGCUUACCAAGGCUUUGACGGGUAGCCGGCCUGAGAGGGUGACCGGCCACAUUGGGACUGAGAUACGGCCCAGACUGCUACGGGAGGCAACAGUGGGGAAUAUUGCACAAUGGGCGGAAGCCUGAUGCAGCAACGCCGCGUGCGGGAUGACGGCCUUCGGGUUGUAAACCGCUUUCGCCUGUGACGAAGCGUGAGUGACGGUAAUGGGUAAAGAAGCACCGGCUAACUACGUG